GACGUAGGGUCCAAGCGUUGUCCGGAUUUACUGGGCGUAAAGAGCGCGUAGGCGGCUCGUUAAGUGUGAAGUGAAAUCUCCAGGGCUCAACCCGGAAACCGCUUCGCAUACUGGCGAGCUGGAGGAAUGCAGAGGUCAGUGGAAUUCCUGGUGUAGCGGUGAAAUGCGUUGAUAUCAGGAGGAACACCCAUGGCGAAGGCAGCUGACUGGGCAUUAUCUGACGCUGAGGCGCGAAAGCGUGGGUAGCAAACAGG
Molecule: ribosomal RNA, 254 nt
Filed under: uncultured bacterium
Lineage: Bacteria
Description: partial 16S ribosomal RNA
Rfam family: Bacterial small subunit ribosomal RNA
Source: RNAcentral